This 266-nucleotide ribosomal RNA is filed under the name uncultured bacterium. Its description in RNAcentral is "partial 16S ribosomal RNA". It matches the Rfam family "Bacterial small subunit ribosomal RNA", at positions 793 to 1055 of the family's 1533-position model. The record is from RNAcentral.
GUCCACGCUGUAAACGUUGGGCGCUAGGUGUGGGGGGCCGUCUCCGGUUCUCUGUGCCGCAGCUAACGCAUUAAGCGCCCCGCCCUGGGGAGGUACGGCCGCAAGGCUAAAACUCAAAGGAAUUGACGGGGGCCCGGCACAAGCGGCGGAGCAUGCGGAUUAAUUCGAUGCAACGCGAAGAACCUUACCUGGGUUUGACAUGGCCGCUAAAGCCGCAGAGAUGUGGUGUCCUUCGGGGCGGGUCACAGGUGGUGCAUGGCUGUCGU